This 468-nucleotide ribosomal RNA is filed under the name uncultured bacterium. Its description in RNAcentral is "partial 16S ribosomal RNA". It matches the Rfam family "Bacterial small subunit ribosomal RNA", at positions 28 to 507 of the family's 1533-position model. The record is from RNAcentral.
GACGAACGCUGGCGGCGUGCUUAACACAUGCAAGUCGAACGGAAAGGCCCUGCUUUUGUGGGGUGCUCGAGUGGCGAACGGGUGAGUAACACGUGAGUAACCUGCCCUUGACUUUGGGAUAACUUCAGGAAACUGGGGCUAAUACCGGAUAGGAGCUCCUGCUGCAUGGUGGGGGUUGGAAAGUUUCGGCGGGUGGGGAUGGACUCGCGGCUUAUCGGCUUGUUGGUGGGGUAGUGGCUUACCAAGGCUUUGACGGGUAGCCGGCCUGCGAGGGUGACCGGCCACAUUGGGACUGAGCUACGGACCAGACUCCUACGGGAGGCAGCAGUGGCGAAUAUUGCACAAUGGGCGGAAGCCUGAUGCAGCAACGCCGCGUGCGGGAUGACUGCCUUCGGGUUGUAGACCGCUUUCGCCUGUGACGAAGCGUGAGUGCCGGUCAUGGGUAAAGAAGCACCGGCUAACUACGUG